AGAGUUUGAUCCUGGCUCAGAUUGAACGCUGGCGGCAUGCCUUACACAUGCAAGCCGAACGGCAGCACGGGGGCAACCCUGGUGGCGAGUGGCGAACGGGUGAGUAAAGCAUCGGAACGUGCCCUGGAGUGGGGGAUAACGUAGCGAAAGUUACGCUAAUACCGCAUAUUCUGUGAGCAGGAAAGCAGGGGAUCGCAAGACCUUGCGCUCUGGGAGCGGCCGAUGUCGGAUUAGCUAGUUGGUGGGGUAAAGGCCUACCAAGGCGACGAUCCGUAGCGGGUCUGAGAGGAUGGUCCGCCACACUGGGACUGAGACACGGCCCAGACUCCUACGGGAGGCAGCAGUGGGGAAUUUUGGACAAUGGGCGAAAGCCUGAUCCAGCCAUGCCGCGUGAGUGAAGAAGGCCUUCGGGUUAUAAAGCUCUUUCGGUGGGGAAGAAAUUGCAUGGGUUAAUACCCUGUGUAGAUGACGGUACCUGGAGAAGAAGCACCGGCUAACUACGUG
This 504-nucleotide ribosomal RNA is filed under the name uncultured bacterium. RNAcentral's name for it is "bacterial SSU rRNA". It matches the Rfam family "Bacterial small subunit ribosomal RNA", at positions 8 to 507 of the family's 1533-position model. The record is from RNAcentral.